This 253-nucleotide ribosomal RNA is filed under the name uncultured bacterium. RNAcentral describes it as "partial 16S ribosomal RNA". It matches the Rfam family "Bacterial small subunit ribosomal RNA", at positions 524 to 776 of the family's 1533-position model. The record is from RNAcentral.
UACGUAGGGCGCAAGCGUUGUCCGGAAUUAUUGGGCGUAAAGAGCUCGUAGGCGGCUUGUCACGUCGGCUGUGAAAGCCCGGGGCUUAACCCCGGGUCUGCAUUCGAUACGGGCAGGCUAGAGUGUGGUAGGGGAGAUCGGAAUUCCUGGUGUAGCGGUGAAAUGCGCAGAUAUCAGGAGGAACACCGGUGGCGAAGGCGGAUCUCUGGGCCGAUACUGACGCUGAGGAGCGAAAGCGUGGGGAGCGAACAGG